AAAGUUUAACCUGCCCACUGAUUGGAACAAAAUUAAAUGGCCGCGGUAUAUUGACCGUGCAAAGGUAGCAUAAUCGUUAGUUUUUUAAUUGGAAUCUUGUAUGAAUGGUUGGACAAAAGAAAAUCUGUCUUUAUAUUAUUAAUUGAAUUUAACUUUUAAGUGAAAAGGCUUAAAUGGAUUAAAGUGACGAUAAGACCCUAUAAAGCUUUAUAUAGAUAUAUUAUUUAAUUAAAUUUUUAAUAAAAAUUUAGUAGUAAAAUUUAUUUUAUUGGGGCGAUAAGAGUAAAAUUUUUAUUAACUGCUUUAAGUUUUGAAUACAUUUAUGUUUGAUUAAAAUUUUAAAUGAUCCUAAAUAAAGAUUAAAAGUUUAAGUUACUUUAGGGAUAACAGCGUUAUUUUUUUUGAGAGUACUUAUCGAAAAAAAAGUUUGCGACCUCGAUGUUGAAUUAAAAUUUCUUUAUAAUUGCAGAAGUUAUAAAAGUAGGUCUGUUCGCCU
Molecule: ribosomal RNA, 496 nt
Filed under: Varuna litterata
Lineage: Eukaryota; Metazoa; Arthropoda; Malacostraca; Decapoda; Varunidae
Description: partial large subunit ribosomal RNA
Rfam family: Bacterial large subunit ribosomal RNA
Source: RNAcentral